RNAcentral lists this long non-coding RNA (476 nucleotides) under Homo sapiens (human). RNAcentral's name for it is "non-protein coding lnc-MST1-2:1". Lineage: Eukaryota; Metazoa; Chordata; Mammalia; Primates; Hominidae. The record is from RNAcentral.
AGGAAACGGAGCCCAGGGCCCCCAGCCCUCAGUCAAAGCCCCUCUCCAAGGCUGUGGAAAAACUUCUGGCAUCUCGGAGGGAGGGCAGUGUGUGCCCAAACUCUGUGUAUAACGCACGGGAAGCCUGGCCGGCCAGGCCGCAAAAAGGCGGCUGUGGGAAGUACGGCAAGACACCAUGGUGGCAGGGUUUCUGGAGAGGGUUCUCCCUCCCAACAAGGGCUGUGCCUUGAAGGUGGUGCCCUGCAGAGAGCAGCAUCUCUGGAAAGACAAUCAAAGGUCCCCUGGCCAGUGGUCCGACUUGUCCAGCAGAUGCUUCACCCAGGCAGCUGCUGUGAGAAAACAUCACGUCCUCAACUGAGGCCUGCCUGCCACGUCCCACCUGGUGAUACGCUUCAGAGACCAAAAACAGAAUACCAUCAACCCCCGGGCUAGCCGCAGGGGGAGGCCUAGCUGAAGCCAUGCAAAGAAACCAAGAG